Molecule: ribosomal RNA, 195 nt
Filed under: uncultured Bifidobacterium sp.
Lineage: Bacteria; Bacillati; Actinomycetota; Actinomycetes; Bifidobacteriales; Bifidobacteriaceae
Description: partial 16S ribosomal RNA
Rfam family: Bacterial small subunit ribosomal RNA
Source: RNAcentral
CGCUCUAAAAUAGUGGAUCCCCCGGGCUGCAGCCCAAUGUGGAAUUCGCCCUUUAACGGGGGCGCGGCGGGCGGGGCGGGGGCACGGGGGGCUUACGGGAGGCAGCAGUGGGGAAUAUUGCACAAUGGGCGCAAGCCUGAUGCAGCGACGCCGCGUGAGGGAUGGAGGCCUUCGGGUUGUAAACCUCUUUUGUUU